Molecule: long non-coding RNA, 936 nt
Organism: Mytilus californianus (California mussel)
Lineage: Eukaryota; Metazoa; Mollusca; Bivalvia; Mytilida; Mytilidae
Exons: 5
Source: RefSeq, a predicted model, not a curated record
AUACGGAAACCCGGAAAUCUUUUCACCGUUGUCGUUUUUAUACUAUGACGCAAAAUCCAUGGACGCUCGUCUGCUGCUGAAUUCAUGUUUUAAAAGAAUGGACAAAGAUAGUCAGAUAGUUGAUACAAAGACCUUUGAUUUUUCAAACUGAUGGAUCAAAAAGUUAUUAUAAACAGAUAUAUUGAAAUGGCCGACUCAAAAUCAUGCUGUUAAUUAGGGCCCCCUGUUGUACAUGUACUUAGGAAUCGGACACCUCCAGAAGAUGAAAGAUCUACUUUACAUCUUUUUCAACGAAAGUACAAUUACUUUGAGAAGUAGGAGAAGCUAAGCAACAGGACAGAAUUCAUUUGAGGCAUUGCUUUCUAGAUUAUAUAGUGGAGUCAUAGAUUGUCCUAUUGAUUUAUGUGGAUAUGAGGAGCAGUAGUCAAUGAAUAAUUUUGUGAUGAGAGAAUUAGCUCCUCAGAUGUAAGUGGAAGGGAAGCUAUAUACAUUAUAUGUUUAAAUGAAAUUAACAACAGGAUUAGAUAUUGAGGAGAUCCUAUAGCUACAGUAUAUAUAAAUGUAACUGCAACUGUAUUCCAAGAACCUGAUGGCUGAUAAUGUAUUACAGGAUUUUAUCAUUCAAGCAACAUCUUAGAAGGAUAAGUGCAAAUGUAUGAAGGAAGCCUUGGGUACAAAUAGCAAUUACAGCAAUUACAUGCAGGAGAGAACUCUUAACAUUACUAACAGACAUGUAGUCAUUAUAUGGGAGUGGUGUAUUCAAGAAAUCUAAAACACAUGGAAUUAAAUAUCGUGUAUAUUUUUUCAACCACAAGUACUCUCAGAAUAUAAUACAAUUCAAAUUCAAAUUAUUGUGCCAACAUGACAAUUACAGUCUAAAAAUGGAAAAUGCAUGUUUUAAACUGAUUUUUAUAUAAAUAUUUGAAAUAACAAGAA